This 319-nucleotide ribosomal RNA is filed under the name uncultured eukaryote. RNAcentral describes it as "partial 18S ribosomal RNA". It matches the Rfam family "Eukaryotic small subunit ribosomal RNA", at positions 1470 to 1796 of the family's 1831-position model. The record is from RNAcentral.
CCCUUAGAUGUCCUGGGCCGCACGCGUGCUACACUGACGCCUACAGCGAGUACUUCCCAGCCCCGAGAGGUGGCUGGUAAUCAGCAAUAGGCGUCGUGAUGGGGAUAGAUCUUUGGAAUUAUGGAUCUUGAACGAGGAAUGCCUAGUAAGCGCAGGUCAUUAGCCUGCGUCGAUUAAGUCCCUGCCCUUUGUACACACCGCCCGUCGCUCCUACCGAUUUCGAGUGGUCCGGUGAAUCUUUCGGACUGCGCGCGGCUUCGUGCCGUGUCGCGGAAAGUCAGGUAAACCUUAUCACUUAGAGGAAGGAGAAGUCGUAACA